This 253-nucleotide ribosomal RNA is filed under the name uncultured bacterium. RNAcentral describes it as "partial 16S ribosomal RNA". It matches the Rfam family "Bacterial small subunit ribosomal RNA", at positions 524 to 776 of the family's 1533-position model. The record is from RNAcentral.
UACGUAGGGUGCGAGCGUUGUCCGGAAUUACUGGGCGUAAAGAGCUCGUAGGUGGUUUGUCGCGUUGUUCGUGAAAACCGGGGGCUUAACCCUCGGCGUGCGGGCGAUACGGGCAGACUUGAGUACUGCAGGGGAGACUGGAAUUCCUGGUGUAGCGGUGGAAUGCGCAGAUAUCAGGAGGAACACCGGUGGCGAAGGCGGCCUGCUGGAUCCUCACUGACGCUGAGGCGCGAAAGCCAGGGUAGCGAACGGG